GUGCUUGCUUCAGCAGCACAUAUACUAAAAUCAAGAUGAUUACAGAAAAGAUUAGUAUGGCCCCUGCGCAAGGAUGACGCAGGGAGGUGUUCCAUGUUUUU
RNAcentral lists this small nuclear RNA (101 nucleotides) under Castor canadensis (American beaver). Lineage: Eukaryota; Metazoa; Chordata; Mammalia; Rodentia; Castoridae. The record is from RNAcentral.